RNAcentral lists this small RNA (78 nucleotides) under Flavobacterium sp. 103. Its description in RNAcentral is "Flavo-1 RNA". It matches the Rfam family "Flavo-1 RNA". Lineage: Bacteria; Pseudomonadati; Bacteroidota; Flavobacteriia; Flavobacteriales; Flavobacteriaceae. The record is from RNAcentral.
UUUUAGCCCGGAUCGUAGCGGCAUCCUUUUCUUGCCUCCUUUAGGCAAGAAAAGAUAUAGCGGACAGCCGGAAAUAGC